RNAcentral lists this ribosomal RNA (465 nucleotides) under uncultured bacterium. Its description in RNAcentral is "partial 16S ribosomal RNA". It matches the Rfam family "Bacterial small subunit ribosomal RNA", at positions 339 to 795 of the family's 1533-position model. The record is from RNAcentral.
CUACGGGGUGCAGCAGUGAGGAAUUUUGCGCAAUGGGGGCAACCCUGACGCAGCAACGCCGCGUGAGUGAAGAAGGCCUUUGGGUCGUAAAGCUCUGUCAACAGGGAAGAAGUUAUAAUUAUUUAAUAGAUAAUUGUAUUGACGGUACCUGUGGAGGAAGCGCCGGCUAACUCCGUGCCAGCAGCCGCGGUAACACGGGGGGCGCAAGCGUUAUUCGGAAUUAUUGGGCGUAAAGGGCGCGCAGGCGGUCUUGUCCGUCAGGUGUGAAAGCUCGGGGCUCAACCCCGGAAGUGCACUUGAACCAGCAAGACUUGAAUACGGGAGAGGAGAGAGGAAUUCCUGGUGUAGAGGUGAAAUUCGUAGAUAUCAGGAGGAACACCGAUGGCGAAGGCAUCUCUCUGGACCGAUAUUGACGCUGAGGCGCGAAGGCGUGGGUAGCGAACGGGAUUAGAUACCCGGGUAGUC